RNAcentral lists this transfer RNA (73 nucleotides) under Canis lupus familiaris (dog). It matches the Rfam family "tRNA". Rfam says of the family: Transfer RNA (tRNA) molecules are approximately 80 nucleotides in length. Their secondary structure includes four short double-helical elements and three loops (D, anti-codon, and T loops). The record is from Rfam by way of RNAcentral. RNAcentral also lists the same sequence under 1 other name. Lineage: Eukaryota; Metazoa; Chordata; Mammalia; Carnivora; Canidae.
ACCUGGUUGGCUCAGUUGGUAGAGCAUGGGACUCUUGAGCUCAGGGCUGUGAGUUUGAGCCCCACACUGGGUG